GGGCGUAUAGCUCAGCCGGUUAGAGUGCCACACUGAUAAUGUGGAGGUCGGUGGUUCGAGUCCACCUACGCCCAC
Molecule: transfer RNA, 75 nt
Filed under: Trueperella bialowiezensis
Lineage: Bacteria; Bacillati; Actinomycetota; Actinomycetes; Actinomycetales; Actinomycetaceae
Description: tRNA-Ile(gat)
Rfam family: tRNA
About the family: Transfer RNA (tRNA) molecules are approximately 80 nucleotides in length. Their secondary structure includes four short double-helical elements and three loops (D, anti-codon, and T loops).
Source: RNAcentral